This 416-nucleotide long non-coding RNA is filed under the name Androctonus crassicauda. Lineage: Eukaryota; Metazoa; Arthropoda; Arachnida; Scorpiones; Buthidae. The record is from RNAcentral.
GUUCACUCCAUCAUGUUGCACAGUACUAAGAGACUCAUUCAGAAAUCAAGACUUUAGAUGUAAUAUGUUGAUUAAAAUGUAGCACUAGAAAGCUAGUGUCUUGUAAUGAAAAUAAAGUCUGUGAGUGUGGGUGGAAAAGCAAGUUACUAAGGAAAAUGAGGACUGGCCAUAGUUCCUGUGACCAUGUGUGCUGGCACUGGCAAGCCUGACAAGCAUGUACUGCUGAAUAGACGCCUUCCAGGAAACGCACCACUUACACAGCUUAGCCAAGGAGGGAAAUCUAGAGUUACUUUUAUUAUUUUGUGCAUUAAUAUAUUUUUACAGUCCUUCAAACUUUCAUGAGCCGUGAGUCACUCAUUCCUUAUGCGGUCACUUCCUGGUAGUGUCCUAAUGCUCUGUGUGGAGUUAACUUCAUG